GUUGGAGCAGCUGAAUGGUAAGUCUAAGCAUGGUGGGAGGGGCUUUGACCAUUGAAGAAAGCAUGAAAACCGACAUCCAAGGAUCUGCUGCCUUUAGGAUAUAAUGCUAAAUAUGGUGCUUUGGAUCUUAGACCUUGCAAAUACUCUUACCUUUUGAUAUAAUGUAAUUUCAUACCAGAAUCAGAUAUGGUUUUGACUGAAUAAAUAAAAGCUGAUCUUGGAUUGUGAUCUGGUCUGAACUGCAGGUUUCUAAAUAAAAAGACUCUUCAGUGAGCUUCAUCUAUGCAGUUUCCAUUGAAAAAGCAGGUCACAGUAAGAAAGGUUAAGAACUGUUUAUUAAUGGUACAGUAAGAUGUGGGUUAUUUCUUUUGACCAGAUUGGUCAGCUACAAUUCUCUUUUGAACACACACUUAAACAUUGUACCAAUGUGUAUAUCUCCAGCUAGGUUUCUCUAGAUAUGUAGUGAAAUUAACAAUGCAUGUCAUUUCAGGCAGUUACUUCUGGCAUGGAAAUUGCAAAAGAAAGUGCCAGUUUGCCCAAACUGAACAUUGCUAGUGAAGCACUUUUCAAAUAUCAACAAACAAGGGCCAUUUGAUUCUGGUAGCCAUACUCGUAAUCAGAAGAAUAAGUCAGAGAGCAGGUAAAGAACUGCAUUCUCUUUUCCCUUUAAGCUAAAUUAAAAUAGAACUGGUGGUUAAGCGGGGCCAAAGAAUUGUGUGGCAGUGAGCCAUCCAGCAGGACGCAACACCACAGGUUCCUCUCUG
This 764-nucleotide long non-coding RNA is filed under the name Anolis carolinensis (green anole). Its description in RNAcentral is "lncRNA (ENSACAG00000044971.1)". The record is from RNAcentral. Lineage: Eukaryota; Metazoa; Chordata; Lepidosauria; Squamata; Anolidae.